This is a long non-coding RNA of Polypterus senegalus (gray bichir), 427 nucleotides long. RefSeq lists it as uncharacterized. The record is from RefSeq and is a predicted model, not a curated record. The transcript is spliced from 3 exons. NCBI's taxonomy places the organism in Eukaryota, Metazoa, Chordata, Cladistia, Polypteriformes, Polypteridae.
UUAAAAAGCGAACGGUGAGCGGGAAGAAACUGGCGGGAGCUUCAGGGAGGGGAAAGAGGCGGGUUGUGGUGUAACACGCGUAGGACGGAGUAGUGGGCAUCUCAAACGGGACGUUAUAACUAAGAGGAAAAGAGAGCAACAAGUGGACGUGGACUUAAAUGGUGAAAGGAGAGGACACGAGCGUACUGCUGUUUCAAGGCUGCAGUAUCGGGGUGACGGCGUCUGAGGCAGAGAAUGGUAGAGCGGUGACGCCACAACGGAACAGGCCGAGUGAAGCGGCUUCUCUCCUCCAUCACGAUUUCUAGGAGCAUGGCUUGUGAAGUGGGGACCUGUGGUUAUCGAUGCAGCAGGAUACAAGGAUGGCUUUGAGCUCGUUUCCUUAAACGAAAGCUCCGACUCGCCUGGAUAAUGGAGUGCGGUCCCUUUU